AGAGCGAACGCUGGCGGCAUGCUUAACACAUGCAAGUCGCACGACGGUUUCGGCCGUAGUGGCGGACGGGUGAGUAACGCGUAGGUAUCUAUCCUUGGGUGGGGGAUAACCGUGGGAAACUGCGGCUAAUACCGCAUGACACCUGUGGGUCAAAGGCGCAAGUCGCCUGGGGAGGAGCCUGCGUACGAUUAGCUAGUUGGUGGGGUAAAGGCCUACCAAGGCUACGAUCGUUAGCUGGUCUGAGAGGAUGAUCAGCCACAUUGGGACUGAGACACGGCCCAAACUCCUACGGGAGGCAGCAGUGGGGAAUAUUGGACAAUGGGCGCAAGCCUGAUCCAGCAAUGCCGCGUGGGUGAAGAAGGUUUUCGGAUUGUAAAGCCCUUUCGGCGGGGACGAUGAUGACGGUACCCGCAGAAGAAGCCCCGGCUAACUUCGUGCCAGCAGCCGC
Molecule: ribosomal RNA, 448 nt
Filed under: uncultured bacterium
Lineage: Bacteria
Description: SSU rRNA
Rfam family: Bacterial small subunit ribosomal RNA
Source: RNAcentral